GGGUGGAACUUGGUUCUCCUUGGAUGGUGCGAGCAGCACAAAACCCUCACAAGUUUUCUUUCCGCAACCAAAGCCGACUCCUCUUCACACGUGGAUAGCGUGCGGUCGACAGAGCAGCAGGCACUGAUCUCUUGUGACAGCUGCUCCUGAGGCUGGCUGCGGAAGGGAUCGUCAUCGGGCAGCGAUGGGAGGAGGACAAUAUUUAAGCGCUCCCAUAACACACUUGCCCGACUGUACUGCUGGAACGUGACACACAAGGAACGGGAUCCAGAAGCUGCCUGAAUCAACUUAAAAGAACUGGACAAAGCCACGAGGGGGGAAUCAGAGGGGGGAAAGGUGACAGCAACCUAUCCUUUCUCUCACUUGCUCUAGGCUAUGAUCUUCCGUCUGAAGUGUUUAACCCCAGGGUACUUCCGCCUCCUACAAAUGCAACUGGCCAGUGGACUGGAGUCGGAACCUCAAGACCGGCUGCUGAAUCACCUGGCUCUACUGCUGGCCAUUAUGGGAUUAAGCCUCUCCUAUUACAGUGCCAGGCAAAUGAGUGAAGAGACUAAACCAAAUCCGGAACCUUGAUGCUUGGGCUGCCAAGCAGCAGCUGCAUGGGCCAAAGAGGACUCCAGGAACGCAUGGAAAAGAAACAAGGUUGGAGAGAGACCCUGGCACGCACUCUGCGGCACAAGCAGCAUCCUAUAGGUAUCCUGUGCAUGCGCCGGCUGGGUGGCUCACAUUAGAAAGCUCAGCGCCAUCUUUCCUUGUUCUUUCACAGACGGUGUGUUCCUAGUGCCCCUUCUGGCCAUGCCAGUUUCAUUCUCUCCUCUUGGAUCCUCCUGGUCAACCCAGCUAUUGCCCAACUUGCUUCAUUCUAGUUUCAGGGGGCCACUACCAAUGUUGCAGCCCCCUGCCCCAAUUUACCCCUUGAUCUGAUCCUCAUUCAAAGCCCAGAAAUGGAUUUAAACCAGGAUGGCCACGCAGGAAGGAAACUGAAGAGCUGACCUCAUUGGUUGGGUACAAUAUUGCCUUAGCUUGUCACAGGAAGCUUUCUGCCUGGGCAUGUUAAGAUUGCCCUCCGGGGGAUGCAGCAGGGAAUUAUUAUUAUUAU
Molecule: long non-coding RNA, 1099 nt
Organism: Lacerta agilis (Sand lizard)
Lineage: Eukaryota; Metazoa; Chordata; Lepidosauria; Squamata; Lacertidae
Exons: 3
Source: RefSeq, a predicted model, not a curated record